UACGGAGGGUGCAAGCGUUAAUCGGAAUUACUGGGCGUAAAGCGCACGCAGGCGGUCUGUCAAGUCGGAUGUGAAAUCCCCGGGCUCAACCUGGGAACUGCAUUCGAAACUGGCAGGCUAGAGUCCUGUAGAGGGGGGUAGAAUUCCAGGUGUAGCGGUGAAAUGCGUAGAGAUCUGGAGGAAUACCGGUGGCGAAGGCGGCCCCCUGGACAAAGACUGACGCUCAGGUGCGAAAGCGUGGGGAGCAAACAGGAUUAGAUACCCUGGUAGUCCACGCCGUAAACGAUGUCGACUUGGAGGUUGUGCCCUUGAGGCGUGGCUUCCGGCGCUAACGCGUUAAGUCGCCCGCCUGGGGAGUACGGCCGCAAGGUUAAA
RNAcentral lists this ribosomal RNA (375 nucleotides) under uncultured bacterium. Its description in RNAcentral is "bacterial SSU rRNA". It matches the Rfam family "Bacterial small subunit ribosomal RNA", at positions 524 to 898 of the family's 1533-position model. The record is from RNAcentral.